UGAAAAAUGAUGAAUUGGAUCAGGUAUGGUGGCUCACACCUGCAUUCCCAGUGCUUUGGGAGGCCAAGGCCAGAGGCUCACUUAAGGUUAAGAGUUUGAGACCAGCCUUGGCAACAUAAUGAGACCCUGUCUCUACAAAAAAAAUUUUUAUUUAUAAUUAGACUGGAGUGGUAGUGCAUAUCUGUAGUACCAGCUACUUGGGAGGCUGAGAUAGAAGGAUCUCUUGAGUCCAGGAGUUUGAGGUUAGAGUGAGCUAUGAUUGCACCACUGCACUACAGCCUGGGUGACAGAGUGAGACCCUGCCUCAAAAAAAAAAAAAAAAGUGUGAGAUGUAAUGGAUGGGAUCCAGGGGGCAGGGCCCUGUGGCAGUGGUGAGG
Molecule: long non-coding RNA, 377 nt
Filed under: Homo sapiens (human)
Lineage: Eukaryota; Metazoa; Chordata; Mammalia; Primates; Hominidae
Description: non-protein coding lnc-ZNF704-6:1
Source: RNAcentral